GACGAACGCUGGCGGCGUGCUUAACACAUGCAAGUCGAACGGAAAGGCCCUGCUUUUGUGGGGUGCUCGAGUGGCGAACGGGUGAGUAACACGUGAGUAACCUGCCCUUGACUUUGGGAUAACUUCAGGAAACUGGGGCUAAUACCGGAUAGGAGCUCCUGCUGCAUUGUGGGGGUUGGAAAGUUUCGGCGGUUGGGGAUGGACUCGCGGCUUAUCAGCUUGUUGGUGGGGUAGUGGCUUACCAAGGCUUUGACGGGUAGCCGGCCUGAGAGGGUGACCGGCCACAUUGGGACUGAGAUACGGACCAGACUCCUACGGGAGGCAGCAGUGGGGAAUAUUGCACAAUGGGCGGAAGCCUGAUGCAGCAACGCCGCGUGCGGGAUGACGGCCUUCGGGUUGUAAACCGCUUUCGCCUGUGACGAAGCGUGAGUGACGGUAAUGGGUAAAGAAGCACCGGCUAACUACGUG
This 468-nucleotide ribosomal RNA is filed under the name uncultured bacterium. Its description in RNAcentral is "partial 16S ribosomal RNA". It matches the Rfam family "Bacterial small subunit ribosomal RNA", at positions 28 to 507 of the family's 1533-position model. The record is from RNAcentral.